AUUUGCAAUUGUUCCACAAGGCUCUGUCCUGGCUGUAGUUGAGUCAACAGGAGUCCGGAAGCCAAGGAAUUUUUUCCUAUCACCUUUCUCCAUGCCAAUACUUUAAACAACAACAGACAAGAAGAAAACAGCUACACUACAAUGUGCACGUGUACCAUAACGAGACAAAAGAAUACAAAAGCCAGCCAAUUCAAAGUGAGAAAGCCUGGAGGCUUUUGUCUCUAAAGUUGAAAAAAAACCCACCUCCAUCAAAUCUGAAGCAUUUUCAGAAUAGGAACAAUUCAUCCAACUUUAACAAGGUCUUCACCUAGCUUUAUGCCAGAAGAACCAGGCCUCUGAAAGAGUCACCAUAAAUCUAAGCCAUACAUCUUGAUUAAACAGUAAAUCACUGCUUGUGCAUUCAGAGUACCUUCAGCCUGAUUCUGCAUGAAGGAAAUGAACAAGACAUCAGAGCGCUGAUUUGCCGAAAUCGGACCAGAGGUGAUUUAAAGCAAACACACACAAACUUACCGAAGACCGUGUUCAUUUGGGGGAGAGGAAACUUAAAACCACAGAAAGGAACCAUACCUCUUCAGGCCACGUGUCGUUUUCAUACUUGUCAAUUUAUCUGGCACACAAUAUAACUGCACAUGAGAGCUUUCUAAGACCAGUUAUAUUACAUGUGACAUAAUGUUGCCGAAUUCCUAUUUACUUUCAGAAAUAUAAAAACAAGUCCCUCCCAAGGUUAAAGCACUUCUUUAACCAGGUUUGGUUUUCUCCUUUAUCAGGCAAGAUUUAAUACUUUGCCCUCUUGAAGAGAUUGCUAUUAAUUUCUAACUACAUUCCAACUAUUUCUGCAAA
This is a long non-coding RNA of Chroicocephalus ridibundus (black-headed gull), 840 nucleotides long. RefSeq lists it as uncharacterized. The transcript has 4 exons. NCBI's taxonomy places the organism in Eukaryota, Metazoa, Chordata, Aves, Charadriiformes, Laridae. The record is from RefSeq and is a predicted model, not a curated record.